Gadus chalcogrammus (walleye pollock) is the source of this 820-nucleotide long non-coding RNA. RefSeq lists it as uncharacterized. Lineage: Eukaryota; Metazoa; Chordata; Actinopteri; Gadiformes; Gadidae. The record is from RefSeq and is a predicted model, not a curated record. The transcript has 2 exons.
GUGUGUGUGUGUGUGUGUGUGUGUGUGUGUGUGUGUUGUCAUGUAGGCUAUAGAUAUAGACUGAUUGUCUUGGAUUGCAUCCAUGAAAUAUUGUAAUGUUAUGGCCUAGGCUUACUGCAUAUUGAGGAUAUUUAGAUCGGUAUCGCCAGAGAAUGUCUAAUAUGAGGAGAACUGGCACUCGCGGGUUAUUUCCGGGUUUCUGGACUGGUUGCAGUAAUAAUCUUUGACCACGCGGGGCGCUCGUAGGCGAGUCCAGAAUGAAUGGGAGCCAACGGGGUUUUAUCCUCAGAAUCCACUUUUCUCACGAUGUAAUUUUUUGUCAAGUAAUUUUAAAGUUGCUAUCAAAGGGUGGGGCUAAGAUAAUAAACUCAGCUGAAUAUUGCAUUUUUUAAGGUCACGUAUCUGUUCUAAAAAGGCGUUAAAAACAUGCGAUGACGUCACACACUGUAAUACUGUCAGAGGUACUGCUUUACGGUAGUUUCUAAAGCACUUCCCUUGUCCCGCAACGAUAACACCAGCUGUUGGAGUCGGACCUUGAUGCUGUGACAACGGACAAGUCUUCUUCCUCUGUCCUUUUCCCCUGCCUCUGUUCAGUAUGUUCAGUGUUGUUAAAUCAUCUUUUUUUUUAUUAGUUACUGUUCUUAUUGUGUUCUUGUUAGUGUGAUUUUUGAAUAAACUUGCCUGUUGCAAUGUUGGUAUAAUGUUUGUAUAAUUACUGUUAUACAACUGUUACUGUUUCAAUGUGACCCAGACCAUAUUUCUCAUUUAACAAACAUGUGUAGCUUAUAAUGUGUUGCAUGGCAGAGCAAUUACGGUAUAU